AUAGCUCAGUGGUAGAGCACUUGCCUAGCAUGUGGAAGGCCCUGGGUUCAAUCCCCAGU
Molecule: transfer RNA, 59 nt
Filed under: Heterocephalus glaber (naked mole-rat)
Lineage: Eukaryota; Metazoa; Chordata; Mammalia; Rodentia; Bathyergidae
Rfam family: tRNA
About the family: Transfer RNA (tRNA) molecules are approximately 80 nucleotides in length. Their secondary structure includes four short double-helical elements and three loops (D, anti-codon, and T loops).
Source: Rfam by way of RNAcentral